UUCUCUUGAGCUAUUUUUAUAGCCUACCUUUUAGGGGUGGGAAGUACAAAGUUCCAUCUUGAAUUGAUGGGUAGACCGACAUGACAGCAGCCUAAGCUUCAAGCUACAGUCUGAGACCUGGGAAUAAUGGAGGAUCAGAUGGUGACAAGGGUCUCAGCAGGGUCCGGCAGGCCAGGGAAGACCAGUCUGACAGAGCAACAGUCUUCCAACGACCUUCCACCUCCCCACCACCACCAACUGAAGGCCCGUCAUCGGAUCUCCAUUCUCCCAGUGAGGGGGUUCGAUGCCAGCUGCCCAGCAUCUGAGGAGCAUUCCUCUGAGACGAGGCCUACGCCUACCCCAAACUAUUCAAUAAAAUUACAUAUUGUAUUCUA
Molecule: long non-coding RNA, 374 nt
Organism: Oncorhynchus nerka (sockeye salmon)
Lineage: Eukaryota; Metazoa; Chordata; Actinopteri; Salmoniformes; Salmonidae
Exons: 3
Source: RefSeq, a predicted model, not a curated record